UACUCAGUAAUUUAUAGAUUCCAUAAGUACAUUAAAUGGGAUUCUGAUUAAUCCAGGUGAUUUAACAUUAGUUGCCCUAUCGGAAAGUCUUUUGCCAUCAGAACAGAGAAUUGGAAGAUACUACAAAAACUAGCAAUGUUGUCUACAAUAUGACUGCUAUUUCAAAGGGCAGAUUUCAGCUCAAGAGAUAAAUGGACUUAAAACAUGAGACAAAGGAGCUGUUGGGUCUGUCUUGGUGGUAUUGAAAGGCCCACUUCCUCUAGAAACCAUUGACCACAUGAUUUAUUGGUUUUCCAGAUCAUAGAUACAAGACUUGACUGUCAGAGGUGGGAAAGAAUGGAAAUAACUGAAAAUUUCAUCUCUGUUCUUGGCAAAAUAAAAACUCACCAGCACAAGAAGACCAAAAAAGCUUCUCUCUUGGACAGGUCUCUCUGCAGACAAAAGAAUUCUCUAAAAGCAUAGGCAUGAGCCUGGCUUUAAAUAAGUUGGUAUUUAGAUUCAUACUAACUUUAUACUUAAAACCAAAAAACUAAGCCAAACAUUUCUCAUAUGAAGGCUAAUGGGGCAGGAGGGGGAGUGUGCAUUGGCAGAAGCAAUUACCUGGAACUGACUUGUGAAGCAGUUUCUUAUCUAAAUUUAAACUGGAAAAUAAAAUAUAAAAAAAAAAUUACUCCUGAAAACAUCCUCAACAUGGCUUAAAAAUUCAUUGAACUCAGUCUGAAAUUACAGUCGUAUAAGAAAGCUGUUGAAACAGAUAGCAGAUGUGAAGUCCAGGGUCUGAAGCCAGGAUCAUAGGAGGGGCAUUGCAGGGUGGGGGCUUAAAGAAGAUGGAAGGAGAUGUAAGCAGAGGAGACAUACUGUAGACACAUAGAUUGCUGGUCGGGCAGGUGCUGGUGGGCACGAGGCACACACUUGUACACGGCAGCCUCGCAUGGCAUUAGCACAUGUAGUCCAGCACAUAGGCUGUGGGUAGUCUCAUAGGCCUCCACAGACUAGCCGGAAGAGGCGAAUGGUAAGGGCAUUUGCCCCUGCUCUCAAGGGAAUAUUUCUCCAAAACACACAAAAGUGACAUUCUUCCAUAAUAUAACAUUACAUCAUUGUUAAACUGCAGAUUCUUGAAUGUUCAAUGUCAACCAUUGUUAGGUUAUUGUACCUUGAAUGUCGGAUGUCAGCCAAGUUUUAACUGACUCAAACCAGAUACCUAUUAUUAGCACCAUGUUGUCCAAAUCCUAAUUUGCUCCAGACUGCCUUCUGUUUCCUACAAUAGGGUUAGAUUGCCUAAAUUUUUGAGAUAAUAAAAGUAUUAAAACAACAUUUGAAAAAGUUUAAAAACAAAAGGAGUGGCUAUAAAACAAUAGAAUACUAUAAGAUUUGCCUGUAUCAAAAGGAUUGAGGUUCAGUAUGGUGUUUUACUACACAAAUGCAGUCCAAACAAUCCAUUCAACUCUUGUGGGGCAAUACAGAGGGUUCAACUUAGAUGGACCUUUAUUUUAAUUGUGAGACAGUCUCUGGAUCAUUUUGCAAUAAUAUUUGGGAUUAUGUAACCUAGCCGCAUAUUAACAAUGAAUGUAUGUUAGCAAUGUAUCCCUUAGGACUUUCCGAGUGCUGAUUUUGAAGCACUGGAAAGCAGCAUAUAUUACACUGGCAGACAGUAGAUGCUUGAAAGUAGCCACCAAGCAGCCUCCUGCUGCUAGAUCCCAGUGCCAUCCCAUACCAGAGAUGCAAGCUUCAGCAAGUUACCCACGUUCCAUGGGUCUCAUCUUCACUCUGGGGUAACAAGUGAGAAUUUUAACCAACCCAUGAGUAUAACUCAAGGAAUUAUUCUAAAAUGAAGCAUGCAUGUAAAUGUUUAUGUCAUCGGGGUUUAUAAGGUAAGCACUUCAAGAUCGAGGAGUGAUCAUGGGGAAGGAUCAGGGCAUAUUGAGAAACAGCAACGUUUUUUAGAGCCUCUGUGGAGUCAGCUUGGCUAAGAGUGAAAGGGUUUGUGAAAUCCCACCCUGUCUCAGAAACACCUUACUUUAGGAAUGAGGAUAAGCUUCAACUAAGCAGACACAGUGGUAGAGCUCAAUCUUUGCCUUCCUCCUGAAAUCUGAAAUUAUGCUAGAAGCAGGUUUAAAUGCUGCAGGAAGUUUACUAGCUACACUUUGGAUCCUAGGUUGAAUGCUGGUUCUUUCUAAAAUUCUGUUGUGACAUAGUUUGUUAUGGUUUAUUUAAAUCUUGAAGACCCUAUUGACAUAGUUUGUUAUGGUUUAUUUAAAUCUUGAAGACCCUAUAGUCAUAUCUGAGUGGAUUACUGCUUUCAAAGGACUGGAGUCUAGCAAUCAUUCAUUUCUACAUUACUUCUAUUUUCUCUUAGUCCCCAAAACUAUCACUUUCAUACGUCAGUGUGCACCUUCAUUCGCUGUCCUUGGGAAUUCUUUUCAGGUGCCUCCAAAGGACAAGCUAAUUGUUUCCUUGCCCAUAAACACUUUUGCUCCUCUGAGAAAGAUUUUCUUCCUGCCUCUAGGGUUUCCACUGUACAACUUGGACCUUUAGGCAAGUGGAAAACUACAACCAACACAACCAGAGUUCUUGAUCAGAAGAGGAGUUAGAUGGGAGGCUGUGCAUAUCAGUGGAAGCUGUAUCCACGGAUGCUCCGGAAUGUUGCUGACAUCGACCUGUCAACCAGUGUUUUAGGACAGAGAGUCAGCAUGCCAAUAUGUGUUGGGGCUACUGCCAUGCAGUGCAUGGCUCAUGUGGAUGGCGAGCUGGCCACUGUCAGAGCCUGUCAGACCAUGGGAACUGGCAUGAUGCUGAGUUCUUGGGCUACCUCCUCAAUAGAAGAAGUGGCAGAGGCUGGCCCUGAGGCACUUCGCUGGAUGCAACUGUACAUCUACAAAGACCGCGAGGUCAGCAGACAGUUAGUGAAGCGAGCUGAGAAGAUGGGUUACAAGGCCAUAUUUGUGACCGUGGACACACCUUACCUGGGCAACCGCUUUGAUGACGUUCGUAAUAGGUUCAAGCUGCCACCACAACUCAGGAUGAAAAACUUUGAAACCAAUGAUUUGGCAUUUUCUCCUAAGGGGAAUUUUGGAGAUAACAGUGGACUUGCUGAAUAUGUGGCACAAGCCAUAGACCCAUCUCUCAGCUGGGAUGACAUUAAAUGGCUCAGACGAUUGACAUCGCUGCCUAUUGUUGUAAAGGGCAUUUUGAGAGGAGAUGAUGCUAGGGAAGCUGUUAAACAUGGUGUGGAUGGGAUCUUGGUGUCCAAUCACGGGGCCCGACAACUGGAUGGAGUGCCAGCUACUAUUGAUGCCCUGCCAGAAAUCGUCGAGGCUGUGGAAGGGAAGGUGGAAGUCUUCCUGGAUGGGGGUGUAAGGAAAGGCACUGAUGUUCUCAAAGCUCUGGCCCUGGGAGCCAAGGCUGUGUUUGUGGGGAGACCCAUCAUCUGGGGUUUGGCUUUCCAGGGAGAAAAAGGUGUUCAAGAUGUCCUUGAGAUACUGAAGGCAGAAUUCCGGCUGGCCAUGGCUCUGAGCGGGUGCCAGAAUGUGAAAGUCAUCGACAAGACAUUGAUGGUCAAUGACGAUGACAGAGAGGCUUUAUUUCAACCCCCUGCUAUUUCACAUGCACAUUACUGUGUGAAACAUGUAGAAGAUGGCAAGAUACUGUGCAGGCAGCAUUGGUGGCCUGCAUAGCAGUACCCCCAGGUGCUAAAAGAGUCCAACAGAAGCCUGCCUCACAUGAGUACAGCUGUCCAGAUGACCUGUAGAUCUGUUGUGUAGCUAACUGAUAGCAUCAGUUCAUAUGAUCUUAGUUGUAAGAAACACUUGAUCACAAUGGCUGGGAAAUGAAGCCUUUCCUUGUUUUACAAGAUAAGAAGGAAAAAAGUAGUUAGAGAGAUGAGGUAGAAUUUCAAAAUGACAUGUAAUCUAGUAAUCACUGCUCAUAUAACAUGAGGAGUGGUGACCUUUACCUUUAUUUUAUUAUAUUUUUUUGGCUUUUAGAGACAGGGUUUCUCUGUGGCUUUGGAGGUUGUCCCGGAACUAGCUCUUGUAGACUAGGCUGGUAUUGAAUCUACAGAGAUCCACCUGCCUCUACCUCCCAAGUGCUGGGAUUAAAGGUGUGCACCACCACCACCCAGCCCUUUAUCUUAUCCUUAAUGACUAUAUAGCUGAAAGAGGCCUGGUUUGUCUUAACAAUUACAGUGGCUUAGAGGCACUUAGGCAAAGGGGACACCAAGAGAGUUCCUUUUAAGAGAGAAGGAAAAUACUUCCUUGAAUUUCCAUUUCACCAAGUUUCUGCUUAUGCAGCGGAAGUGCUUAUGUGUGAAAGUGUUUUAGGAAAGGGCUGUUAGGCACAGGGAGUAAACAUAUGGUGCUGGAGCUGUAGGGCUGUGCCUCAGAGAGUAGUUUUCAGAGAAGAACUCACAAAUCCACAGCCUUUAGACAUGACACAGAGGUUCUUAUGUAGAGGAGAUGAGACAGUCAACUAUAGAUACUGUGGCUACUAAGGGAAUGAUAGGGAGGGAGCUUGCCUAUUUUAGAGAAUAACAUUCUCCCUUGGAAAGGCAUAAAUGGACAGACUAUUUCUUAAAUGAAGCUAGGUGGCAACUGAGCAAGUAUCCAGUGAUUAUCUGCAGAAUUGUAGUCUAGGGUUUUUCUAGGCUCAGAAACUAUAAAAACAGCUACUAUGACAUCAGUAUUUCUGUAUAUCCUGUGGGUGGCCAUUUAUCACGUAGUCAUCUUUCUAAUAGGAAUGACUCAAAGGUCCAGUUGUGAACAGUUGGGGAACUUGUACAUACCACUUCACCUUUGGUUAUAGUGUUCUUUAAAAUACUGGUAAAAGCAUCACCCAGUUACUCAGAACAACUUAUGUCUUAUUUACAUUACUUUUGUAGAUGAGAUUUCUUACAUCGAUUAAAUUUCAGAGGUCUAUUCUUCUUAUUUUAGUAAUGGUUCAUUUGUCCUACUGUGUCUUCCAGGAAAAGCUCUAGUUAUGCCUCAAAAAGCAAGAACAGUGACCUAUCACACUGUCUGGUGCUGCUGACAUUCAUCUCACCAUGUGGCUCUCCUGAAUGCACUCUUCAUCUCAAAGCUAAGCCAGAAACUUUCAUCAUCUUCCUUUAGGGAGACCCCAUAGUGAGGGACUGCCUGCUACAGUCCAAACCUGUGUCUUUUGGCCUUGCUCGUAGUCCAGGUUAUCUUUUGUUUGUCUCCUGGCAUUCUUAAAACUCAACAGUUUUUGAUGGUGAAUAAUGUUAUCCUUUUAUAUCAUCUUACUAAUUUCCUUUGUGCAGCCAUUUUCAUCCCCUGAAAACACUGAUAGACCAGCACACAGUGGAUUUUCAGUGACUCUCUCUUACAGGAUUUAAGUAAAAAUGAAAUGUAAGGUGAAGAGAGUAUUAACUAGCAGGAGUAACAGCUUUCAUGUCACUGAGUGAGACAGGUAUUAGCUAAUGUGUUGUUUAAAACUUCUGAUUAUCCCAAUAUUUGACAUUUUACCCCACUUUUAUCUCAUUUAGAAGAAUAGGUUUCUGUUACUAACUCAAACGCAUAGUGUUGAUUUGCUCAUUUUUUAGAGGUGAUUAAGAUCACAAGCUGCUAGAAGCCACCAGGGGAGUUCGGAUUCCGUGUCCUGUUUGAGGGGCCUCUCAAGGCUCACUUGCCAGUUAUUUGGGGGUGAUCUGUUCUAGCAGGAACUCUCAGUUUCCCAGUUUCUCAUUCUUAGAAAGAUGAAUCUUGCAUACCAUGUGAAAAGCAUCUAACUGUAAGAGUGUCUGGGGUGUGAGUUGUUGCAGUCCCAAGGAUUAGUUACUGAAAGCCUGGCUGCUAUAUGUGAUACCUGGACUCUUUCUUAAUAAGCCCUGAUAAUUGCCCUGACAACAUUAUGUAUCAUGGAAGACCACAUAUGUAUCAAUACCCACCCCAAAAAAACCAACGUGCAUUCUUAUUUCAUAGUGGAUUCACACACUUACCUUGAUACUGUCUGUCCCAGAAGUGAAUAUUCCAGCUAGAGGCACAGCAGGUCCCAAGGGCCGUCCAUCUCUGCAAGAAGGGUGUAAUCCCAUCUGCAUAUACACUAGAGACAUUUUAACAUACUCUUAUGGGAUACACUUGAGAUAUGUCCAGGAAGAAUCAACUUGUAUCCAAUGUGGAGGUCAUUGUGCAUGAGGAUUUCAAACUUGACAAUGAAUUCAGUUAUUUUCAUUUAAAACUGAAAAUAAGAUGGUUACCAUUGCCUGGGAUGAAGUCCUUUGUACUUCUUGCAUACUCUUUUCUUUAUUAUUAUUAAUAUUAAGUAUUAUAUUUUUGGUAAGGAAAAGGACCCAGUAGAGUCUAAAAUUAGACACAUAGAAAAUAAGACUCACCAAAGAUAAUAGAGGCUUUUGUAAUUUUGAAAAAGUAUUAAGUUGUAACAUGACUUUGAAAGCUAGAGUUUCCAACCUGUAUGGCUUACUCAUACUUGGAAAUUUCUUGUCAAAUCAAUAGUUUUUGAAGUUUACUAUCUCAACAGUGAAAGGAAACAGAGGCACCUAGUUCUGACCCCAAGUUUUUUCUUAGUACCUAGGCACAAUAGGGCGAGCUCCAGGCAAGUUAAGUUCUGAACUCCCUGCUUCCUGUCUUUUGUGAGUUCUCAAUUUGACACUUAAGCAUACUUCAGUGUGGACUUUUAUGUGGGAAUGCCUUUGAUAUUUUUCCACUCCUGUCUAAUGCCAGCUACAAAAAAGAAAAAUAGGAUAUGGCUCUAACCACAUGUAAUAUAUUUAAGAUUUAUUUAUUUAAUUAUUAUAUUUCUUUAUCUUGAACCUGAGUGCUACACUAGUGAUUUUGGAAGACUUUUCUUUUAGAGUCACUCUGAGGGGCAGUCUUAGGAAAAAGAAUCCUCCCAGUCUCUGAGAAUUCCACAGGUCACAGGAAACAAUCCCUGUAUGUUCUAGGGUAACAACCUGUACUUGAAUGGAGGCUGCAGUUGUGGAGUUUAGGCUUGAGAGACUCAAAGAGUGUCGGGUCCAUUUUACAGAGUGACAUGAGCAAUGAGCAACCCUACCAAAUGCACACCUCCUAAUGGGAUGAACAUGUAGGGGAGCUCAAUGGGAUGAUUUACUGCUUUAGUAAAUUUUUCUCUUGAGCAAUGAUCAUCAGUGGAUCACCAGUUAACUAUGAGUAAUAGGCCAUUGGAUUUGCAGCCUUCUUGCUUAAUAUGGUCUGUUCAGUUGCCUUGAUUGGGAAAAGUUCCUUUUUCCACUUGAAUGAGUGGGGCAUGUCUGGUGGGGGAAUGGAUACACAGGCCUCAGUUAGAAUGAUGGAAAAGCAAAUAGCAGGCAAGAAUGAGUAACAGUGAUUAAAAGAGCUAAGCAACAGAGUCAACCUUGUUCCCUGUGACUACAGAGUGUGAUGCAUAUAUGAGGAAGAAACAGUUGAAAUUACUGUUUGGGAAAUAGAUCAACAAUGUAUCAGUUAUGUUUUAGUGAUCCAAUGUGUAAAUAAUAUUUAAGCUUCCGUCUAAUAUAUGCAAUCCUACCUAUAAUUCCCCACAGAAACUUGACAACCCACCUGCUCUGAAGGGCUCUAUUGUAUUAUUCUGAUGGUGUUUUAUUUAGAUCCACGAUUUUAACAUGUGAACCCCACUUCCAUAUUACCAUACAACUGUCAUAUUAAACUGCUCAAUGGAAAACAUGCUCUGUAUUUUAUUGGCACACAUUGAGCCAAUGCAGUUUGGGAGUUUAUGAACAGCUUGUUAAAUGAAGAUGUCCUGGUACAGUGUUAAAGCACAAUUUUCAAAUACAGAAACAUAAAACAAUGCAUGUGACUUUAUUGUUAUUAUUAUUAUUGUUACUUAGCAUAGUAAGUGAAAGAAGCACUGAAAUGUAGACAUUGGUGUAACUGAGAUUCUGAGUUUGUGUAAUUCUCUGCAUGACCGCAGUUUGCGUCUCUUCAUUAGUUUAUCCAUUCAUGAAUGUAUUCAGUGUUUUCCUGGGUUGUUAUAAGGUGCUAUGAGGGAGGAGCAUGUAUAGGUAAAUGUGAGACUGAAACUGCCUGUCUGAGCUUAGUAUUUAUCUGGAGAGUGGAAGGCACUGAAGUAACUUCAGGUCACUUGGAAAAUGCCUACAAGGUCUGCACAAAUCUCUCUAUGUGGAGAGGCAUGAAUUGGUCCAGAAAGUUUCCUUGGCCUUUUCUUUCUGGCUAAGAAACUAAUCAGGAAGCCCAAGGAUGGCAAUUGGGGAGUUUCUGUUCUGCCUAGAGAGUAUGAAAAGGUUCAGAGAGUAGGAAGAAGCAGGCGUAUUUUUGGUAUCUGGAAGUGGGAAUGCAACCAUGGGUACCAAGAAGGGCUGAGACAAUAAGAUGAAGCUGGAGAUAGAAGAUGGAGAGUUAACUGAUAACUAUGAAAAGAGGAGUAAGGAGCUCUCUCUGAAUUUUACAUAAAACUGAGCUAAUAACCAUUAUACUUAGGAUCACUAUAGAAAAAUAUAAUCUAUAAUGGGAGUUUUGCUAAAAUGUUGCUACAGCAGAAAUCCAGGAGAGGGUCAAGCCCUUGCUGGUUUUCUGUUUUGAGUAGUCAAAAAGCUUGUUUACAGCAGAUGAGGUCUUUGUCCUCCUUCAGAAUUCUCCCCAACAUGGUCUCCUUUCUCUCAUUCCUGAAUUUGUAUCUUCCUUUUCCUCCAUCUGUGUCUUCUGGUCUCUCCCCAUUUUCUCUUUGUGACCCUAUUUCUGUUAAAUUGACUGGUCUGGGAAACACCUGUUGCCUGGAUAAAUCCAGCGAUCCCUUGAGUCGAAUCAGAGUGGCCCAGGCCUGUACUCUAAUUCUCACAGCAGUGCUGGACAAACAGUGAUACAUUCUUAGUCUUUGAUUCUUAUUUUAUGAUCAACUGCCAGAGAACCAUGACAUCAUCCUAAGUAAGAUAAAAUACAACUGCCCAGCUUACUGCUUUAUAAUUAUGAUACCUGAGUCUAGUUUUCUUAAACUUCUCAAGACUGGAAAGCUUUUGGUCCCAAUUUUCAAUGUAUUUCUAGGUCACCUCCCAGGAUGAAUUAUUUCCACAGAUGGCUAAUUUGGUAAGCUUAUCCCAACUUGUGCUAAUUUCAUUCUAGGGGAUGGAUACUUUCUGAACAUAUUUUGUUUUUGUUAGUGAGUAGAGGAGUCUUCCUGUGUCACUUCUAAUUGUUGGCAUCUUGUCUGUGGAACUGAAAAGGCUACCUCUUCCUUCUGACUGCUGGGACUAAAGGUGUGCCCCACCACCGUCCAGCUUUUCCCUGGACAGACUGCAGAAACUGUGCAGCCAACUCGGCGACAGGACCAAAGUGCAAAAGCCACGGGCUGUACAGGCAGCCUCAUUAAGGUUGCAGGGACCUACCCAAGCACACCCUUGAAGGCGAGGUUGCAAUUAUAUCACUAGACCCAAGAUAAAUGAUAAAUGGGUGUUUAUUGGGGAACAAUUACACAGAAAAAUACAAAGAACUACCUGAGUGUUUCUCUGCUCUUCCUACCAGAUCCUAACAGAAAGAGCACAAAGGAAAGCCAGACCUCAAGCUCCUCUCUUUCUGCUUCCUUCUAUCCGAAGUCACACCCAUAGGGGUGUGGCCACUGUUUAAGGUCAACAGACCAGAGCCUACAUCUAAUAAUUGUUUUUUUUCUAUUUUUAUGUAUGUGGUGGUCAGAGGUCUGAACUAAUGGUCUUCUUUAGUCACCCUCUGGCUUGAUAAUUCCAGACAGAUUGUCUCAGGGAACCUGAAGCUCAUUGGUUUGGCUAGACUGGCCAGUAAGACCAAGGGAUCCUUUGUCUCCACAUGCUGAUGCUGGAAUGGCAGGCUCACACUGUUCCUGUUAAGCUUUUCUAUGAUUGUACUCAUGUGGUCAGCAUAGUACCAUCUGGCCUAGCUCCCUUCCCAGCCUCCACCUUAGUUUUCAUAGCCCCAUUGGAAAUUCCAGUCCAUUUACACAGAGUAGUUCUCUCUGUGUUCCCAAGGUGAUGUGUAUCCCAAUGAAGACAAAUUGUGUUAAUGUGUGGAAUGAUCACUAAUCAACCCAUCCUAAUUUAGUGUUUUAUUCAAAGUGGGGGAUUAUUAACCAAAGUGAGUCUCAAAUUGCAUAAAAAUGAAAUGCAACGUUAAAGGAAUAAUAAUAGACAAUUUGACAGGAAGAUGUUAGAUCCCUUAAUACCUACUGUACUUAAAACAAAAUCAUUAUUACUUAUGCUGUUAGGUGAGAAUAAUUUUGGGCUAGUCUAAAAGCAGUGGCCUCAUGGUAUCACAGUUUGGAAGUAGCUGGCCUUUCAUAGCUAAUCUGGACUCAGUUUGCACAUCCAUGAAAUAAGAAAGCUAGGCCAGACUGGAAUUGGGAUAAAGGUGAGAAUGAGAAAAAGUAAGCCCGAUGUCAGUGACCUGAAAUUGGUAUGCAAAUUGAACAAUUCGCAGUAUAACAAUAAACACAAGUCAAACUACACCAAACUACAGAAACAUAGCUUUUCAGAGUGCAGAGUGGCGUAUGGUAAUAAAGUUCCUUUUUUUUUUUAACCACUAGCACCCACAGUCCUCUUUAUUUCUCAGAGAUAAUUAGGGCUCAUUUCUUGUAUAGCUAUCAAAAUGUUUUUAGGGUAGUGUGCUAGUCAAAGUUCUGCUGGUUUCAGUCUACAAGAAUAAACACUGACUAAAGCCACAAUAAAAUAUUGACUGGAACGAUGUUGGGGAUAUUUUGCUGAACUAGAUCAGGAUUAAGCCCCAAAGUCUUUGGAAGGGGGACUAAAGGAAGGUCUCCAGGCAUCCCAGAAGCUGCUAAAGUAAUUGGGCUGCAGACUUCACACCUCUGCUAUUUUGGAUUUGAUUCAUUCUGAGUGUGAAUGGCCAAGGUAGACAGGUUCAGUGGACUGUGUUGUGUCUGAGUGAGCAGGGUGUGGAUGAAAAAAAGUGAAAUAAAAAGAAAAGGAAAGGACAUGCCUACCCCUAGGUAUGGAUGAGGAGAAGGUUUAUUGUAGAUAAAAUGGAGAGCAUAGCCAGAGACAGAGACACCUGGGUGAGUCCAGUGUGGACAUGACCAAUUGAGCUGGAGCAUGUGAAGAGAAGGGGAGAGGAAGAGAGAUGGGAGAGACGGAAAAGGGGUGUAGCAUCCAGCAGGCCAAAAAAGAGUGGGGCAGGUAACCAAAAUGUCUGGAUUAUAUAGGUAAGAACCUCUGGGGGAAGGGCAGCCCAGACUCUGGGCUGGAGAAUUCAGGGUAGAGGGUAGAGUGUACCAGCCAGGUGGACCCUGUAACAGACAGGGAGUGAGGGAUGCCAGGAGAACCUGGUGGUCAGGUAUGCUUUGAUAUGUUAACUGGGAACCUCAAACUUUUGUCUUGUGUUUGAAACUUAAAAUGGUGAAGAGGUGAUAAGAUAGACAUCUCAUAGCAUGGAGAUCUGAGUACCUUUGUUGCACAGGAUGAAGGGUCCCCUGUGGAUAGUUAAGCCAAGAAGGAUAUGUUAUGCAUAAACAUAUCCCUGUUUAUACACAGACAAACACAUGCAUACUCUAAGUACUUGAUUUUGAGUAAAAGGUAAAAAUGACUUUCAGAUUGUAGUAUACUUACGUGUGGGUAUGUUCAUGGAGGUGCAGGUGCCUGAGGAAGUCUUUGGCUUUAGAUUCCCUGGAACUGGAGUAACAGGAUUUGGUGGGCCACCCCAAGUGGGCGCUGAACCAAACCCAGGUCCUCUUGAAAAGUAGUGCAUGUUAUUCUUUUUUUCUAGGCAGGCUUUUUAUGUGUAACCAUGGCUCUCCUAGAACUCACUCUGUAGAUCAGGCUGGCCAUGGACUUGCAGAGAUCUGCCUUAUGAGUGCUGGCAUUAAAGACAUGCACCCCCACUGUCUAGCUCAGUGUUUCAUAUAUAUAUAUAUAUAUAUUUUUGGUAAAGAUUAUUUUUAAAUUCAUAGGUAACACUGGAUGCUUGUAUCAUAUACAACAUGAUGUUCUGAGGUCUAUAAACAAGUUAGACUAAUUUAGUUCAGCUAAUGAACAAAUGCAUCAGCUCACACUACACUGUGGUAAAAGCGUAUAAAAUCUCUCUCUAAGUUUCUCAACAAUAUAGCACAGAUGUUCCUUAAUAUAGAGAUAGUGCUGUUUCCAUAGAAACACAUAAGGAGGUAGAAAUGCUUUCUCUAGUUCAUCCUAGCCUGUCUUAGAUGUUCUCAGAGCACUUGCACUAGUCUACAGUGAGGAAAAAUCCAUUAGUAUGAAGUCUGGUUCAUAUCAAGUACUGCAUAUUAUAUGUAAUCCCUGUGCACUGCACUGUAAGUGGAAAGCAACCUGAUUGUAUUGAUAUUCACAAUAAAAGUACAAUUAAUGCAUAUUUAAAUUCAGUUUUUUACUUAGUUGGUAUAGCUUUUGGUAGAUUUUCAUUCUUUUUGUGGGCUAAGAGUCUUUGGUUGAGCAUAUACACUACAUUUUCUUUGUUUAAUGUACCCAUCGAGAGCCAUGUAGGCUAGCUUGUAUUUUAACUAUUAUGUGUAGUGAUGCUAUGAAAAAGGGAAUUCAGAUAUCUCUUUGACAUGCUGAUUGCCUUUCCUUUGGAUAGACACACAUUGCUAGAUCACGUAGUUAUUCUACUUUCAAACUGCAGAAGCCCAUACUAUUUGCCAUCACAAAUCUUGAACUUUGUAUGGGCAUGAACAGUGAAGUGAGUAAGCAGCUUCUAUGUUCUAUGUUUUUGCCAGCUCCUAUCUUAUGUCUUUUUGAGUUCUAGUCAGGCAAGCUGGGGUGUGGAGGUAUUUAUUGUGGUAUUGAGUUGUAUUCCUAUGGUGACUGGCAAUAUGGAGCACUUUCCGCAUACUUGUAGGUCAUUUCUAUAUCUCUUUUUGAGUAAUGGUCAUCCAAGCCCAUUUUAGAACCUUCUUUCACAAUGGAGUUGUUGAAUUUAUUACUCAGUCACACCACGUCUGUAUCUUUGCUGUAUCAGGGACAUUGUGAGUCUAAGGCCUUGAGUCUAGAACAGUUUAAUUCAUUAAAUCCAGCCAAAGUUUCUAUUAAAUCUUUAAAGUGUUGGUCUUCUAGCUUAAAUAACUUGAAAUAACCAACAUAUUGAGAAAACAUGAUGGAAAGAAGAGUUUUAAGACAUUAACUAUCACAUAAUACAGUGUUAUAGACAGAUGGGAAAUGUAAUCAGAAGAACUGUAAUUGUCCAGCUUGCUUAUGACAUUGGAGAGUUUAAAGGCCAUGACUAAGGGAGAGCCUAAGUGGAGCUUACUAGACACUGUGAGUAGGGGAGGCCAAGGUGGUCAAAGGACAAAGUACUGUGGAAGAGAGGCAUGUGUCCUUGGCAGUCAUUCACAUGAAUCCAUGUGGUGUCUUGAUUUAUACUGAACUCCUCAUAGUCUACUAAAUACAUAAUUCUUUACAGUGUUUCAUUAGCAUUCAGGACUUUUAUCUGGAAAAGCCUUUGGAAUGCAAUGCAUUUUUUCCUUUUCAUUUCUGCUUUAGUAUUCGUAAGCUGUUCUCAAGAUGGGUAAGAAUGAUUCCUUAUUCUUGCUCAAUUUGACAGCUGCUUCAAGGUCUACAGAACUUUGGAUCUUCAGUUCUGUCGUCAGGAUGGUCUGAGCACUUUGUUUAACCAUUUGUGUGGAGAAUCCAAGAAGUAUCAGGCCUUUUUUUCUCUCGCCACAAAACCAGCUUGCCGUCUAAAAUAGUUUAGAGGAGGUUUUUCCAUCACAAAAGCAAAUGAAAAGGAAAGAAUAAGAACAAGAGAAUUCUCUGAUUGAUUAUUUUAAUCUAUUAGCAAAAACUAAUUUAGUACUGCAAAUAAGCAUAGGAUUAAGUAGGAGAGAUGAAAAGUGCUUAGCGGUCAUUCUUAUUUUUCUAUACAUGUCUGUAUCCUGGAUACUCAGAGAGAGCCCUGUGGACUGGCAACAGGAGCAUCUACUGGGAGCCUGUUAGAAACACAGAAUCUCUGUUCCCACACAAGGCUCAAAAUUUGCAUUUAACAAGAGCCCCAGGUAACUCCUAUGUGUGUUGAGUGUUGACCACGGAUGACAUGCAGAGCUUUCUUUCUUUUUAAUGCCCAUGGAGCUAUAGAAUUUCUCUGAUGAUGUGAAUAAAACAAGACCCCCCUCCCCUUCCUAUAAAAACAGAAAUGGAAGGAUCUGAAUGCAUCAGUCCAGAUGGCUAAGAGAGGAGUUCUUUUCUACUGCUGUAGUGGCUCCCGAACACGCGCCAAGUCUUCAAGGGGUCAGAUGUGCAUUGGCACCUCAUGCUGAGGUUAUUUAUUAAUUUGUGUUUUACAAGAGGCAGAAGAAGGAGAUUCUUCGCUCAUGUUAGAUUACACUUGUUGUUUCUGGUGAAAAAUAAUUUUCCCUUUGGAAAAGUGUGCUUGCUUCCUAGAAAAUCAAGGAGACGAUGAAGGGCCUCAUUUCAGUUAAGAGCACAAGAUGGACGGAAAUAUUGUAUUUUCCUUCCUGGUCUUUGGUUGGAAUUGACAUCUAUGCUUUGGGGACUGGCUGUGUAUAAGCCUGUUGCCCUUUAUAUUUAUGGCAUUGUCAACUAAAUUAAUUCUGCCUGUUUAUUAAUUUUAAAUUUUGGCAACCAUGUUGACUUAAGAGUGCUGUAUAAUUUCUGGGAAUAGCAAAGAGAUAACAAUGGCAUUUGUCUUCAGCUUUUAAGAUAUGGACUGAGAAUGCGUAGAAAUACUAAGACUUGACUCACAUUUCAGGCUGAGGUGGUCACCAGGGCUGCCACAAAAAGAGAGGAGGGGGAAGCAAGAUUUCUUUUAUCCCAAAACACACAGUCCCAAUCUCUUGGAGGCACAGAUGACAAACAACAAUGAAGCAAGUAAUAACGCUUUAAUGGGUUCACUGGCCAUGGGCAGUGAGCAAGGGGUUCUCUGACUUAGAGGGAAGAUGAUAGACUUCUCCGGAAUUGGCCAAGGAAGAGAAGUCAGAAAAGAACAUGCUGCUGGAUCUUCCUAAAUUGGUUUUUUUAAAAACUUUUCUGCAUGCUUGAAAUGUCCUGAGACAAUUUUAUAUAUCAUGUUUUUAUGUUAUCACAUAUUAAUGGAAAUUUUCAAAAAUGAUCACAAAGAUGAUAGCAAGUAUAUGGCAGAAUGUUGAUAGGGAGGGGGUAGAUAAUGGGUAUCAAAACACAGACGGUCACUAAGUUGUUUUGUUACAUAGUAAUCUAGGACAGAUGUGGUAGAGACAGUUAAUUAUACAUUUCAAGAUUACUAUAAGAGCAGGGUUCAAAGGUUAGCAACACACAGAAAUGAUUUGACUUGAGGAGGCAGAGACAGUUAUUAUCCUUAUUAGAAUAUUACACACUGUACACAUGUGCCCAGUUACAAUACUACCCACAAAUAAGUAAAGAUAAGGGCAACUGAAGAUAAAAUGGAAAAAAAUCCUACCACAUGCAACAUCUCUUUAGAAUAGCUGCAAGCCCUGGGCUCUAUUGUAGGUACUGUAAGAACAGCUUCAAGAGAGGUGGACAAGUUCUACACAUACAAACUAGAUUAAACAGAAAAUUGCACUCAAAAUGACCAGUUAAUGAAAUCGAUAGAGGGGUUUUUGAUAAGAAGAAAAUAAAAUGGAAUAAUGUAUAUAUUAUUAAUACUAGAGUGGCUACACUCUAAUUUUUAAGAAAUACCAGAAAACAAAAUUUAUUGUACAAAUCUAAACUAAGAAAAUGAUGUAUGGAUUUUCAAGAUAACUGUGAAACCUAAAAAUGGGGAUUGGUGUCUUUUUGAGGAGUUUUUAUUAUUUUUUAUGCAAUUAAAAAAUCAUAUACAACAGUUAUUAUUUUAUUGUAUACAUUAAUAAGUAUUGAUUUUGUCUGAAGACACAGUGGCUGUCUAUUUUUUAAAUGUAACACAGUAUUCUAGAGUGGGUUAUUAUGCAUGUGACUUAAAGUCAUUGGAAGAUAAUUGAAAGAUAAUUUAUAUAUUAUUCAAGGAGUUAUCCUAUCUGCAUGCAAAACAAAUUGUGAAUUUAUGAGCUUUCUCAUUUUGUUAUAAACUCUAGCACACACACCAUGUUAUUGAUAAGUAAGUGCUUCUCAAUUAUUUUAAUUUUAUCAAUGCAUUUGACAACAUUUUGGCACAAUCUUCUUGUUUAGUGGAUCAAACAGUGGGGAUGUUUAUAUUUGGGGCCUUAAACUCUUGCUAAUGUACUAUGAAUAGUUUUGAUAGAAUUUAAGAGAUGAAGUGGAUAGAUAGGAUUCACAGUUAAAUCUUUAAGUGACAAAGGAAAGGAGACAUAAACAACAGAAGUUUGAAAAAAGGUAAAAAUUAUUCUAUUUUCUUAAAUACUUAACAUACAUACACAGGCAAUAUACACAUUUAUAUAGUAUAUACACAUACACACUAUAUAUGUGUAUCUAUACAUAUAUGUGUGUGUAGUAAUAAUGAAAGAUGUCAUGGAUUUAGAAGGGAGGCACUGGAGUGAAGGAGGAUGGCAGAGAGUGAUGAAGGAUACAGUGGUUGCGUUUGAAGAACACAAAAAUAAAAUAACAAUUUAAAACCAAACAACAAAAAAUGACAAAAUCAAUACUAAAGAUGAUCUCAACUACCAGAGACACACUGGGCAGAAACCAAUGAAAUGACAUAAAGCAGACUAAGUUUCGGGUUCUGUUUAGGUUCAGAAGGCAGCUGCCUGAGAGUGAGCUGGCUUGGCCACAGCGCAGAUGGCAAAACUUUGGGAUUUCCACUUGAUGACAGCCAUAACAUUAGCCAAUAGCAUGAUGUGGCUGUUAGAAAAGUAGCCUAGCACAGUCUUAGGUUGCAUUUGUGAAAUAUUGCAUCUAGCAUAAUGAAAGCAAUAGAAAAGACAGAUGAACUAAAUCCUGUGCUAGAGAAAUGACCUCAAGAAUGAUGCUGUAAAUCUCUUGUCCUGUGUGUCAGUCCUUCUCUAACUGGAGGACACUCAGCUGAAGGAACACUGAAUUCCCAAUAUUAUCUCUUGUGGAAAACUGGGAGGCACAGGGUGAAAGCUUUCCUGAGUGAGAAAAGACCAGGGAUGAAUUUGCAGAGGGCCCCUCUGGUUAAAAGCCAGUCAGUGCUAGCUAGAAUGUUGAUUUGAAGGCAGACAGCAAGAAAUUUACUCUGACAUUCUGAGCAUAGUAGCAUAUUUAUCCCUGUGUGUGUGUGAGUAUAUGCACACGCCCGCACAUGCACUUGCGCGUGAGGACGCGCACACACGCACACACACACUUGCAGGGUAUCUUUUUAUUUUAGUCAAUCUAUAAAGUUCAUUUCACAGUGAAAACAUGAAUCUGACCUUAUUUCAGUUAUUUAUCAUGAAUAACAAAAUGUCCCAAAUGUAUAAGUUUAAAACAAUAUUAACAAUAUUAAAGCUCAUGCUUUAAAGAGUCAGGAAUUCAGAGGGCUUUCCUGGAAUAUUCCUACUUGAAGUGUCUGACACCUUUUAGUUAUGAAAUGCUGCCCUGUCAAGGCCUCACUAGGUUGGAUGUCCAAGGUGGUUCUGUUGCCUGGCCACACUUAGCUGGAUGCUCUGCUGCCAGUCACAGCAAGGACUUGUGGUCUCUUCAUUAUCCUCAGCUUACCAUGAUUGUUUCCAAGCUGUGGGACUGUUAGCUCAGGAAUAGGAAAGCAAAUCAGAGAAGCCAUGGGAGCCCAUAUGAUGCAGUCUCAGUAGCACAUUGUCCCUUUCCCCACAAGGCUGUAAUUUUGCAAGUGACUCAGAUGUCUUGAUAGAUACAUAGUUUCUAGUUUUGACUGAUUGUAUGUACAAAAUUUCUAGACACUGAAAAGAAAAUGUUUAUAGGGUGAUUACACACUAAAGUGCAUUUCACAAUGAAAACUGCAAACUUUUUUUAGAAGAAAAAAUGUUGUGGUGAAUAAGUUGUGUCUUAAAGAGAACCCACUAAGUUACAGAAAAGGAGGCUUUCAAAUGCCAAAACUUCUAAACAAUAAUGCUUUAAAUCUAAAACAUUCACAGUUUCAUUAAUCAUUGAAGAGCAAAUCAUAUAACUUUAACCAUUUUAGCUUUGCACAUAAUACUAUGUAGCAGACAGUUACUUGAGAAGAUGGUGCAAAAUAUGAUCACAACAUCAGGGCCAUUUGCCCAGUUGCUCAAGUAGUAUCUUAGCAAGUGUUCCUGGGAAGGGUCAGAUAUCUGGUGAACUGGACACAGUGACAUGCAGUGCAACCCCAAAUCCAGGAUUUGGGAACUGAGGCAGGAGAUUAAGCCCCCUCUCUCUCUCACACACACAGGUAUAACAAGUUAGUAAAAAAAAUAAAACUUUCUUUUACCUACCAAGGAAAGAUUCAAUAAAUGUUUGAAAAUGAAAACACAACAACAACAAACCUACAACUGAUACUUCCUAAAUAACCUCCAAUGUGGACACCCUGAUUUUGUAAAUUGCACUGGCUGAUUGUAAGAUUUUUACAGGAAAUACAGAAUUUUAAUAUUUCCCUUUGCACAUUUUGAACUAAUGUUAGAAUUUUCUUGAAAUUACUCCUUGAGCUAUGACAUAACGACAUUUUAAUUUGACUGAAGCAUGUGGUAUACAUUGUAAGAAAUUAACCAUUACAGUUGUGAAUUCUCUGAAGAUGACGGAAGUUAUGAAUCUGACUGCAUAUGUGAAGCUGUUAAACAGGCAGGGUGAUAACUCAGGGGCAAUCAGCUGCAGGGAGCAUGUAGGGAGGCAUGCAUAUACUCAACAAACAUUUCAGGGUUUCUAUGCAAUUAUUGAGUAUAAACAGAUAUUGAAAAUGCAAAAAAAUUUCCUCACUAUGCUUGGUUACAUACUUGGGAUGUUGUAUCUUCUAGGUGUAUGGAGUUUUGCAGUUUCAGACAGAGACCCAAGCAGUGUCUCAGUCCCAGCAGGCAUUAGAGGACAUGUGCAGCUUCACUUCAGCUAUUCUAUGUCCUGUACAUUCGAAAAGCCUCGGUGCAGCCUUAAUUAUUAUCCUCAUUUUUUUUACUAGACUUUGGAGUACUUUUCGGGUUCUCCUGAUAACUGGUUCUACAUGUACCUUAGCUCAGCAAUUCUCAACCUUCCUAAAACUGUGACGCUUUAACACAAAUCCUCAUGUUGUGGUGAUCCCCAACCAAAAAAGUAUUUUUGUUGCUCCAUCAUACCUAUAAUCUUACUACUCCUUUAAAUCAUAAUAUAAAUGUGAUAUAAAUACUACCCCUGUGAAAGGGUGGUUUCAUCUUCAAUGGGGUUGCAGCCCACAGGUUGGGAACCACUGCCUUAGCCAUUUCUGUUACAAGGACUAGAUUUUAACCUUUCUUUCUGCUUCAUGAUAGUGUCUGUCCUCUGACCCACCCUGGUAUCUCCUGCUGUCACCUCAAAGAUACCUCCCUUCUCCCCAUGCUAAUUGCAUUUUUCUUGUUCCCCAUUGAAACUUUAGUGAGAUCUCUGGUUUCCCACAGCUUAUUUUUCCAAGUUGAGGAAGAGCAGCAAUGUUUUCUCGUAGUUGUUACUGAGAAUUUGUUAACUUUUGGUUGGUGUGAUAAAAUGCCCAAGAUUAGUAACUCAAAUCACUCACAAGAAGAAAAAUAUAUUUUACCUCAUAAUUGGAGAGUUUUGAGUACAUGGACACUUGUCAUUAUAGAAGCAGGUGGCAGAUGAAAGCUGCUAAACUCAUGGUAGCUGGGAAGCAAGGGAAUCAAAAGGCUUCUAGGGCACAUCCUCUGUGGCCCAGCUUCCUGUCACUAGGCUUCACUGCCUUAAAAGUCUAGCAGCUCAAGUAACACCACAAUGGGAUGACCAGCUUUUAGCACAUGGUUAAAACCAUAACAACAGUUAAAUGCAUGUUUAGCUAAUCAGAUUUCAAUUUUUUUCACUGUUUCCUUGACAAGUUGCCAUUUCCAUUAUUCAUUUUCAUCACUGACUCUAAGUUCAUCAGCGCUCUCUGGAAGUCAUUGCAGAAUAUUGUACAGAAGAACCCCAGGCAAUUGCUUUCCUGAUGUGGGACUAAUUAAAGGUCUGUUUAUGCUCCCCAAGAGUGAAAAAUCUUUUCACUGAAAAUUAUAAUCAGUUAUCUGGUGAGCAGCCUUCACAUUUUUCUUGUUUCUUAUUUUGCAUGCAUACAUGUACAUAUCCUCAUCUGUACAGAGAUCAGAUGAAGAUGUUGGGUAUACUCUUUGCCAUAUCCCACUCAGAGCUUUUCACUGAUUCUGAAGUCUUCUAUUUUCAUUUUUUAUUUUUAUUUUCAUCAAGUAAUGUAGCUAGCAAGCCCCAGAGAUCUCACCCUCCUUCCUAUCUCAGCUCCAUAGUGCUGGUUCCCAGGUAUGUGUGGCUUUUUACAUGGCCACUGAGAAUCUGAACCCAGGACCUCAUAUUUGUCCAAUAAGCUCCUUUACCCUCCUACAUAUAUCCCCAGGACUGUUCUCAUAUUUAACUUAAUUUUGUUUCAGCUACUACUUCAAUUCAUUAAACCCAUUUUUAAUUUUACAUUAAAAAAGAAUAUUUUUAUUGUAAAAAUCCACAUUGUCUCCUGGGUUCUAAAGUGCUGUGAAAAGUCACGAAAAUAAAAAUGGAAGCCAGCAAGGGUCCCAGGGGUGGGCCUUCACAUAUGGUAAUUCUGAUAAGCAGAAUUCUGGCUUUUGGGUUGUCUAAGUAACUCUUCCCAUUCUUUAACCAUUUGGUCUUUAAAAAACAAAAUCCAAUCGAUUUGUAGCAGAGCUGCUGAGCAAGCCUUGCGAGACACAUAGGGCUUAUCCUUCAUUGACAGCCUUCCCAGAGAGUAUUUUAACAUCUUCCUGCCUUUGCACGGGAAUGAAGUUCAGUUUGGGGUAAUCCAAUUAUGUCAGCUAUGUCAAGCCAUUCAGGUAGAGUUCACGUCAUUAUUUGCCAAUGUUUGCAACGUCCAGUAAAACAGAUUAUUGUUAUUGUUUUUGGAAGCUGAAAGAUGGCUCGAGUUAUUGAGAAGUUAGAGAAGUUUCCAAAUAUCCCGCAGUGAAGAAAGUAGGCUCAGACAGCCUGUUUUCAAGGCUUCAUGCAGUGUUACUCUGACAUCAGUGACAUUUUUGUUACAUUAUUCCCAUCUCUCCCUGGCAAUUAUGACCUUUCUUUGAGCAAAGCCAGAAGAAUGUCAAAAGGAGGACACACUGCAGAUUCUCAUGAUGUCAUCAUUGCUUGAUGAGUUUGGUGCUUGUGUGGACUCUAGAAUUUCUAUGUGGAGUAUAUUUGGUUCACUCACGCAGGGAGCUUGCUAUCUCAUUGCCCCUGGGUAGCAUGCUGCGGAUUCAGAACUUGAGCUGUGAGGCUGCUCAUGGCAAGAGUCACCAAAAGAUGACAACAAAGUUUAAUGUGCUCUUUCUAGACAGUUGAACUGCAGCAGUGGAAACACAAUGUUUAUAAUGCUCCAGUGAUGUGAAAUAAAAAUUACAAGAAAAACGA
This is an RNA transcript of Mesocricetus auratus (golden hamster), 21295 nucleotides long. It is a transcript of the gene named hydroxyacid oxidase 1, with no coding region annotated. The transcript is spliced from 10 exons. The record is from RefSeq and is a predicted model, not a curated record. NCBI's taxonomy places the organism in Eukaryota, Metazoa, Chordata, Mammalia, Rodentia, Cricetidae.